GCAUUACUGGGGCGUAAAGCGCRCGCAGGCGGUCUGUCAAGUCGGAUGUGAAAUCCCCGGGCUCAACCUGGGAACUGCAUUCGAUACUGGCAGGCUAGAGUCUUGUAGAGGGGGGUAGAAUUCCAGGUGUAGCGGUGAAAUGCGUAGAGAUCUGGAGGAAUACCGGUGGCGAAGGCGGCCCCCUGGACMAAGACUGACGCUCAGGUGCGAAAGCGUGGGGAGCAAACAGGAUUAGAUACCCUGGUAGUCCACGCCGUAAACGAUGUCAACUUGGAGGUUGUGCCCUUGAGGCGUGGCUUCCGGAGCUAACGCCUUAARUCUACCGCCUGGGGAAUACGGGCGCGAGGWUWAAACUCAAAUGAAUUGACGGGGGCCCGCACCARCCGUGGAACAUGUGGUUUAAUUCGAUGCCACCCGAAGAACCUUACCUACUCUUGACAUCCACAGAACUUUCCAGAAAUGGAUUGGUGCCUUCGGGAACUCUGAGACAGGGGCUGCAUGGCUGUCGUCAGCUCCUGUUCUUAAGWGUUCGGUUAAGUCCCCCCACCAACGCAACCCUUAUCCUUUGUUGCCAKCGGUUAGGCCGGGAACUCAAAGGAGACUGCCAGUGAUACACUGGAUGAAGGUGGGGAUGACACCUAGUCAUCACGUCCCUUACCAGUAGGGCUACACACGUGCUACAACGGCGCAUGCACAAAUAAAYGACCUCGCGAUAGCAAACGNACCUCAUAGAGCGCGUCCUACUCCCGAUAGUACUCUGCAACUCGACUCCAUNAAACCCGAAUCCCUAAUAAUCUUNNAUCACAAUGCUACUGUGAAUACUUUCCCCNGCCUUGUACCC
RNAcentral lists this ribosomal RNA (841 nucleotides) under Enterobacter mori. Its description in RNAcentral is "bacterial SSU rRNA". The record is from RNAcentral. Lineage: Bacteria; Pseudomonadati; Pseudomonadota; Gammaproteobacteria; Enterobacterales; Enterobacteriaceae.